AUUGAGGUUCAGAGAGAGUGAGGGUUGUCCAAGGUCAUACAAGUCCAUGGAGCAACCUGAGCUCUGAGCCCUUAAAAAUUAUGCCAAGUUACACUUGACUGUAUAGUCAAAGCUAUGGUUUUUCCAGUAGUCCUGUACAGAUGUGAGAGCUAGACCAUAAAGAAGGCUGAGCGCCAAAGAAUUGAUGCUUUUGAACUGUAGUACUGGAGAAGAAUCUUGAGAGCCCCUUGGAAAGCAAGGAGAUCAAACCAGUCAAUCCUAAAGAAAAUCAACCCUGAAUAUUCAUUGUAAGGAUGGAUGCUGAAGCAGAAGCUCCAAUACUUUGGCCACCUGAUGCCAAGAGCCUACUCAUUGGAAAAGACCCUGGUGCUUCCUUCUCCAAGACAGCAGGGAUUUGGGAGAAGCAUUUGGCGUCUUCAGAGUGUUUUGGAUGGAGUUGCGUAAGACCGUCUUCCCAGGACUGAGCUUUUGAGCCAUCACGUAUCCUCCAUGGAGUGGUAUGUGUCCCAUCUUCUCUUCAGACUUGGGGUGGCCCUCUUCCAACUUCUGCACCUUCUUCAAGGCCCUGUUAAGGCUCCUCUUUCUCUACGAAGCCCACCCUGCUAGCCCCACCCUCUGUUUUUCCUUUCC
Molecule: long non-coding RNA, 630 nt
Filed under: Capra hircus (goat)
Lineage: Eukaryota; Metazoa; Chordata; Mammalia; Artiodactyla; Bovidae
Description: lncRNA (ENSCHIG00000006198.1)
Source: RNAcentral